AUAACUAUGAUAUUAGACACGGAACGCCCUUCAUAUCACGGAAUGCGAGAAGGGUAUUGCUGCAGACCGGAGACAAUAUGGGCAGAUCUGAAGGCGGGAUAACUGUAAAUGGAAGUGGAUAGUAUUGGCUAAUUCAGAAUUUCAACGAAUGAGAUUGUUGUUAAAGUAUGACAAUCAAAAACUCACUCAACGUUUGAAGUUGUCUAUCAAGUGUAACUUCCACCAAUCUUUUCACAGUUAGUGAUCCCUACCGCUUUGAGGUUCCGCCUCAUAGACUUUCUUUUGAAAUAGCAGCAGCGAAGAAACUCUAUUAGACCAAAGAAGAAGCGACGAAACGAAUUGUUUGUUAUUUCUGACAAUGGAAGAUCAUAUCACAAUCAAAAAUACCACAGAUCACAGAUUUAAUCUUCAGAUGUGUUUUUGUGCCCUUUCUGUCAUCCGCGACUGUAUUCUUCACGCUCGUAUAUACGAGCAAAUGAACACUUGCGAGAUCACCGCAGAACAGCAGUUUCCUAUGGAGUCAGGACCAAGAAGAUCAUGGCAGCAGUGAACUCGUUGAGGAAUAUACUGAUACAGCCACACCAAGGUAUUAAUGUAGAACUUAGUCUACCACUGUGGUUUGAUACUUGGUUCAACUUGAGUAAAAACCUUAAAAUUGAACAUGGUAUGAAGGAUUGUCAUAAGCUUUUUGACCCGUUGUCACAUGGGGAGUGUUAGAUUGGUUAUUUUGAUGGUUAGAAUAAAAAUAUCUUCAAAGCUUUUCUGUGACUUGCAUAUUACUUUAGCCAGUGUCCGGACUGGUGCAAUCAUAAUACUCUGAAGUAAUGGAUGUAUUCAGAAAAGCUAUUGAGAUCACAUCCAACAGGAGUUUUUGUAGUGAUCCACAGAGUACUCCUCACAGUUUCAACUGUCUUCCAAUGUGUCCACUUUUCCGAGAAAACACAACUGUUCAGACCAAAACCAGACAGCUUGCAUAAGACAAAUACUACAUGUGACAGUCUGAUGCAUUUAUUUGUGCGUGUCCACAGUGUAGGAGAGCAGGCUGGCUGUGUGGCUGCAGUAGGGCAGCUGACUGAAGAACAAGUGGCUCAGGUUUUUGCAGCUGCAGAGAUCAGCAGGGCCUACAGGAGGACUCAACAUGAAAAACUGUUAGAGUUCAUAAUAAAGGACCAUGGAGCAGAUGAUCACUUGCUGGCUGUUGUAUCUCAUAAGGUAUCGUCCAAAUGGUUAAAAAAUUAUGAAAAUCCUAAAGGUCACCUGGUAAUGACUUAUAUAGAAGAUGAGGAGCUGAUAGAUGGCUUCUACAACUUCUUGGAUGAAGAGCUGUAAGCACUUUUGAGAGGAUUGACAGAGUUUGCAUCAUUCUGGAUGUGCUGAUGCCAGAGCUAUACAAACAGUUGAGAGGGCUUCUCUGCCAGAGGCAGAAAAUCUGUUCAUGGAUGGACCAGCAUACAGUGAGUGUGAGAGGGAAGAGUUUGACAAACUUGUUUUGCAACAGUUGGACGCACAAGGAAAGCACCACUGAGGCAUUUAAACUCAGGAUUACAUCUCAACUCUACUCAAAUAAAUGUGUCUCUUUCUUUACUUCUCUUUUGCCUUUUUAUUUCUGUGUGUUAAAAUGACUGUGCAAAAUAAAGUUGUAUAUAUUUAAUGUAACUAUUAAUGUAAAUAAUAAAGGACACUUUCUGUUAUUGUUAAAGAUUGUUGAUUAAGUUCUGUAUAUUUGAAAUUGCAUGUCUGUUUUUAGACAAUUGAUGUCAUCUGGAUUUUUUCUUUAAUUGUUAUAACUGCUUUGUACAGUUGUUAUGCAUUUUACAUUGUUGUUUUAUUUAUAUAUAAUAUAUAGAAGUGGGCAUGCUGUUGUUUUAAUACUUCAGUAUAUUCCUUGAUCAGUCUGUUUGUUAAAUUUAAUCUUUGUGCAUUCUUUCUUUCAAUUCAAUUGACCAAUCAUUAUUGAUAA
Molecule: long non-coding RNA, 1960 nt
Organism: Erpetoichthys calabaricus (reedfish)
Lineage: Eukaryota; Metazoa; Chordata; Cladistia; Polypteriformes; Polypteridae
Exons: 6
Source: RefSeq, a predicted model, not a curated record